This 253-nucleotide ribosomal RNA is filed under the name uncultured bacterium. RNAcentral describes it as "partial 16S ribosomal RNA". It matches the Rfam family "Bacterial small subunit ribosomal RNA", at positions 524 to 776 of the family's 1533-position model. The record is from RNAcentral.
UACGUAGGUGGCAAGCGUUGUCCGGAUUUAUUGGGUUUAAAGGGUGCGUAGGCGGCUUUGUAAGUCAGUGGUGAAAUAUGGCAGCUCAACUGUCAGGGUGCCAUUGAUACUGCGGAGCUUGAGUACAGAUGAGGUAGGCGGAAUUGACGGUGUAGCGGUGAAAUGCUUAGAUAUCGUCAAGAACACCGAUAGCGAAGGCAGCUUACUGGGCUGUAACUGACGCUGAGGAGCGAAAGCGUGGGUAGCGAACAGG